UUUUGGGUUUGGAUCCCCAGCGCAAUCGCCAGAGCUACCAUACGUCCUUUUUACAAACCACCUGAACGUUAUAUAUAAGGGAGUUUUUUACUUUAAGUGACAUUAUUCGAAAUGGGAUUAGUUAUUUAAUUUUUUUUCCUUUGAAACUAUAUUCCCUUGUUUUUCCAUGUUCUCUAGAUGGGUUCCUAAUUGCAGAACCUGAACCGCUUUCCUUUGAAACUAUUUUCCCUUGAAACUUGACUUGUCUUCAUUUCCCUUGAAACUUGACUUGUUUUCCUUUAAAACUUGAGCUUUUUUCCAUUGUUCUUCAGAUGGGUGCUUGACUGUUGAACUUGAACUGUCUUCCCUUGAUACUUGAGCUGCUCUCCCUUGUUCUCAAGAUGGGUUCCUGAUUGCUAAACUUGACACGCUGUCCUUUGAAACAUUUUCCUUUGAAACCUUUUUGCUUUGAAGCUCGAAGUGCCUUCCCUUAUUCUCCAGGCGGGCGCCUGAUUGCUGAACUUGAACUGUCUUAUGUUGAAACUUGAAUGGCUUUCUCUUAUUCUCCAUGUGGGUGCCUGAUUGAUGAACUUGACCCGCUUUCCUUUGAAACUUUUUUCCUUUGAAAUUGCUUUCCCUUGUAACUUGAAUUAUCUUCCUUCAAAACGGAUUUCGCAUGAAACUUGAGUCGUCUUCCCCUGUUCUCCAGGUGGGCGCCUGAUUGCUGAACUUGACCUGUUUUUCGUUAAAACAUGAGCUUUUUUCCCUUGUUUUUGAGGUAGGCGCCUGAUUCUGCAACAAAACAAACAAAACAAAAGAAAUUUUUCUGCCGCAGUUUGCACUAGGAAGAUUUGUGAGUUGUUGGCAAAACUAUAUAUCACCUACGUUGCUGAUGGAGGAUGCAAUGAUGAGAGUAAAACUAAUGACUCGACUAGGAUGUGCAUCUCCAAAAAGUGAUUAAGCUUGUGGAAAAGAAAAAUUAUGCUUGACUAAAGUAAAAACUGACCCUGUUCUCCAAGCGAGACCCCUGAUUUCAAGAAAACUAAAAUUGACCAUCCUUUUUUUUCAAAUCCAGACUUCCUUUUUUUUGACCACUUCCCUUUCUUUAAAUUAUUAUCCUAGGAGAACAUUCGUCAGACUAAUUUUUCC
RNAcentral lists this long non-coding RNA (1128 nucleotides) under Nicotiana benthamiana. RNAcentral's name for it is "long non-coding RNA (NBEN_LNC037294)". The record is from RNAcentral. Lineage: Eukaryota; Viridiplantae; Streptophyta; Magnoliopsida; Solanales; Solanaceae.